GUCCAGCAUAUAGGUAAAAGAUUUUGAAUAAAUCUGAUAUUACAAACAUAAUUACAUUAGAGGGAGGGCAGGGUUCCUUUAAUUUAUCAUAAAAAUUGUUUAAGACUUAUUUGGUUGAUGAAAAAUAGAGGGGGAUAUAGAUACUUUCUAAAAAGUGAAGAGAAGAUUUUUUAUUUGAUUAAAAUUUUAAGAGAAAAAAAAUUAAAAAAAAAUUUCAUAAAAAAUCACUUUUCACGUUUUAUGGAAAGUGGGAACCCACAGGAGAGACAGAUUUUGGUUAG
Molecule: long non-coding RNA, 281 nt
Filed under: Elaeis guineensis (African oil palm)
Lineage: Eukaryota; Viridiplantae; Streptophyta; Magnoliopsida; Arecales; Arecaceae
Description: long non-coding RNA (EGUI_LNC016621)
Source: RNAcentral